RNAcentral lists this ribosomal RNA (227 nucleotides) under uncultured bacterium. RNAcentral's name for it is "partial 16S ribosomal RNA". It matches the Rfam family "Bacterial small subunit ribosomal RNA", at positions 107 to 334 of the family's 1533-position model. The record is from RNAcentral.
UGAGUAACACGUAUCCAACCUGCCGUCUACUCUUGGACAGCCUUCUGAAAGGAAGAUUAAUACAAGAUGGCAUCAUGAGUCCGCAUGUUCACAUGAUUAAAGGUAUUCCGGUAAAGGAUGGGGAUGCGUUCCAUUAGGUUGUUGGUGAGGUAACGGCUCACCAAGCCUUCGAUGGAUAGGGGUUCUGAGAGGAAGGUCCCCCACAUUGGAACUGAGACACGGUCCAA